This 228-nucleotide ribosomal RNA is filed under the name Paeonia lactiflora (Chinese peony). RNAcentral's name for it is "partial small subunit ribosomal RNA". Lineage: Eukaryota; Viridiplantae; Streptophyta; Magnoliopsida; Saxifragales; Paeoniaceae. The record is from RNAcentral.
ACGUAUCCCGUCGCACCCCCAACCCGUCCCAACUCGGGCAUGAUGGCUGGUGGGAGCGGAUAUUGGCCUCCCGUGUACUCGCGUUACGGUUGGUUUAAAAUCGAGCCCCGAGCGACGAACGUCACGACAAGUGGUGGUCUGUAAUAGCUAUUUCGUGUUGUGCGUUGUCUCGUCGCCCGUGGGAGCUCACAAAGACCCCAAAGCAUCGUCACGAUGAUGCAUCCAUCG